RNAcentral lists this ribosomal RNA (532 nucleotides) under Alteromonas sp. RNAcentral's name for it is "bacterial SSU rRNA". It matches the Rfam family "Bacterial small subunit ribosomal RNA", at positions 380 to 904 of the family's 1533-position model. The record is from RNAcentral. Lineage: Bacteria; Pseudomonadati; Pseudomonadota; Gammaproteobacteria; Alteromonadales; Alteromonadaceae.
GACCUGAUGCAGCCAUGCCGCGUGUGUGAAGAAGGCCUUCGGGUUGUAAAGCACUUUCAGUUGUGAGGAAAAGUUAGUAGUUAAUACCUGCUAGCCGUGACGUUAACAACAGAAGAAGCACCGGCUAACUCCGUGCCAGCAGCCGCGGUAAUACGGAGGGUGCGAGCGUUAAUCGGAAUUACUGGGCGUAAAGCGCACGCAGGCGGUUUGUUAAGCUAGAUGUGAAAGCCCCGGGCUCAACCUGGGAUGGUCAUUUAGAACUGGCAGACUAGAGUCUUGGAGAGGGGAGUGGAAUUCCAGGUGUAGCGGUGAAAUGCGUAGAUAUCUGGAGGAACAUCAGUGGCGAAGGCGACUCCCUGGCCAAAGACUGACGCUCAUGUGCGAAAGUGUGGGUAGCGAACAGGAUUAGAUACCCUGGUAGUCCACACCGUAAACGCUGUCUACUAGCUGUGUGUGUCUUUAAGACGUGCGUAGCGAAGCUAACGCGCUAAGUAGACCGCCUGGGGAGUACGGCCGCAAGGUUAAAACUCAA